UAGAGUUUGAUCCUGGCUCAGGACGAACGCUGGCGGCGUGCUUAACACAUGCAAGUCGAGCGGAGACAUGUAACGGAAGGCUUCGGCCGGAAGAUACAUGUUUUAGCGGCGGACGGGUGAGUAACGCGUGAGCAACCUGUCCUUCACAGGGGGAUAAGAUACCGAAAGGUGUUCUAAUACCGCAUAAGACCACAGAGCCGCAUGGCAGAGGGGUCAAAGGAGCAAUCCGGUGAAGGGUGGGCUCGCGUCCGAUUAGAUAGUUGGUGAGGUAACGGCCCACCAAGUCGACGAUCGGUAGCCGACCUGAGAGGGUGAUCGGCCACAUUGGGACUGAGACACGGCCCAGACUCCUACGGGAGGCAGCAGUGGGGAAUAUUGGGCAAUGGGGGAAACCCUGACCCAGCAACGCCGCGUGGAGGAAGAACUCUUCGGAUCGUAAACUCCUGUCCUAAGAGACGAGCAGAGACGGUAUCUUAGGAGGAAGCCCCGGCUAACUACGUGCCAGCAGCCGCGGUAAUACGUAGGGGCAAGCGUUGUCCGGAAUGAUUGGGCGUAAAGGGCGCGUAGCGGCCCUGCAAGUCUGGAGUGAAAUUCCCGAUUUAGUUGGACUGCUUUGGAAACUGCUAGCU
RNAcentral lists this ribosomal RNA (629 nucleotides) under uncultured rumen bacterium. RNAcentral describes it as "bacterial SSU rRNA". It matches the Rfam family "Bacterial small subunit ribosomal RNA", at positions 1 to 642 of the family's 1533-position model. The record is from RNAcentral.